RNAcentral lists this unclassified non-coding RNA (352 nucleotides) under soil metagenome. RNAcentral describes it as "partial contains 5.8S ribosomal RNA, internal transcribed spacer 2, and large subunit ribosomal RNA". The stretch from base 1 to 120 matches the Rfam family "5.8S ribosomal RNA", at positions 35 to 154 of the family's 154-position model. The record is from RNAcentral.
GAUGAAGAACGCAGCGAAAUGCGAUAAGUAAUGUGAAUUGCAGAAUUCAGUGAAUCAUCGAAUCUUUGAACGCACAUUGCGCCCGCCAGUAUUCUGGCGGGCAUGCCUGUUCGAGCGUAAUUACAACCCUCAGGCCCCCGGGCCUGGCGUUGGGGAUCGGCGGAAGCCCCCUGUGGGCACACGCCGUCCCUCAAAUACAGUGGCGGUCCCGCCGCAGCUUCCAUUGCGUAGUAGCUAACACCUCGCAACUGGNNNNCGGCGCGGCCAUGCCGUAAAACACCCAACUUCUGAAUGUUGACCUCGAAUCAGGUAGGAAUACCCGCUGAACUUAAGCAUAUCAAUAAGCGGAGGA